Molecule: ribosomal RNA, 658 nt
Filed under: uncultured bacterium
Lineage: Bacteria
Description: bacterial SSU rRNA
Rfam family: Bacterial small subunit ribosomal RNA
Source: RNAcentral
CCAGAUUAAAGUUUGAUCCUGGCUCAGGAUGAAAACAGGGGGCGUGCUUAACACAUGCAAGUCGAACGAAGCAUUUAUUUGGAAAUUUACGGAUGAAAGAAUAAAUGACUUAGUGGCGGACGGGUGAGUAACGCGUGGAUAACCCGCCUUAUACAGGGGGAUAACGGAGAGAAAUUUCCGCUAAGACCGCAUAAGACCACAGCACCGCAUGGUGCAGGGGUAAAAUAUUAAUAGGUAUAAGAUGGAUCCGCGUCCGAUUAGCUUGUUGGCGGGGUAGAGGCCCACCAAGGCGACGAUCGGUAGCCGGCCUGAGAGGGUGAACGGCCACAUUGGGACUGAGACACGGCCCAAACUCCUACGGGAGGCAGCAGUGGGGAAUAUUGGACAAUGGGGGGAACCCUGAUCCAGCGACGCCGCGUGAGUGAAGAAGUAUUUCGGUAUGUAAAGCUCUAUCAGCAGGGAAGAAAAUGACGGUACCUGACUAAGAAGCCCCGGCUAACUACGUGCCAGCAGCCGCGGUAAUACGUAGGGGGCAAGCGUUAUCCGGAUUUACUGGGUGUAAAGGGAGCGCAGAUGGCGAUGCAAGUCUGAAGUGAAAGGCGUGGGCUCAACUCACGAACUGCUUUGGAAACUGUAUGGCUUGAGUGUCGGAGGGGUA